RNAcentral lists this ribosomal RNA (543 nucleotides) under uncultured bacterium. Its description in RNAcentral is "bacterial SSU rRNA". It matches the Rfam family "Bacterial small subunit ribosomal RNA", at positions 777 to 1319 of the family's 1533-position model. The record is from RNAcentral.
AAUAGAUACCCCGGUAGUCCAUGCCGUAAACGAUGUCUACUAGCCGUUGGGGCCUUUGAGGCUUUAGUGGCGCAGCUAACGCGAUAAGUAGACCGCCUGGGGAGUACGGUCGCAAGACUAAAACUCAAAUGAAUUGACGGGGGCCCGCACAAGCGGUGGAGCAUGUGGUUUAAUUCGAUGCAACGCGAAGAACCUUACCUGGUCUUGACAUAGUAAGAACUUUCCAGAGAUGGAUUGGUGCCUUCGGGAACUUACAUACAGGUGCUGCAUGGCUGUCGUCAGCUCGUGUCGUGAGAUGUUGGGUUAAGUCCCGCAACGAGCGCAACCCUUUUCCUUAUUUGCCAGCGGGUUAAGCCGGGAACUUUAAGGAUACUGCCAGUGACAACGUGGAGGAAGGCGGGGACGACGUCAAGUCAUCAUGGCCCUUACGACCAGGGCUACACACGUGCUACAAUGGUCGGUACAAGGGUUGCUACCUAGCGAUAGGAUGCUAAUCUCAAAAAGCCGAUCGUAGUCCGGUAUUGGAGUCUGCAACUCGACUCC